Molecule: ribosomal RNA, 606 nt
Filed under: Thermaerobacter sp. enrichment culture
Lineage: Bacteria; Bacillati; Bacillota; Clostridia; Eubacteriales; Clostridiales Family XVII. Incertae Sedis
Description: bacterial SSU rRNA
Rfam family: Bacterial small subunit ribosomal RNA
Source: RNAcentral
ACGCCGUAAACGAUGGGUGCUAGGUGUGGGAGGUAUCGACCCCUUCCGUGCCGGAGCUAACGCACUAAGCACCCCGCCUGGGAAGUACGGCCGCAAGGCUGAAACUCAAAGGAAUUGACGGGGGGCCCCGCACAAGCGGUGGAGCAUGUGGUUUAAUUCGAAGCAACGCGAAGAACCUUACCUGGGCUUGACAUCACCGCGAACCUGGCCGAAAGGCUGGGGUGCCCUUCGGGGAGCGCGGUGACAGGUGCUGCAUGGUUGUCGUCAGCUCGUGUCGUGAGAUGUUGGGUUAAGUCCCGCAACGAGCGCAACCCCCGCCCUGUGUUGCCAGCGGUUCGGCCGGGCACUCACAGGGGACUGCCGGUGACAAACCGGAGGAAGGUGGGGAUGGCGUCAAAUCAUCAUGGCCCUUAUGCCCAGGGCUACACACGUGCUACAAUGGCCGGUACAACGGGUUGCGAACCCGCGAGGGGGAGCCAAUCCCUAAAAGCCGGUCCCAGUUCGGAUCGCAGGCUGCAACUCGCCUGCGUGAAGCCGGAAUCGCUAGUAAUCGCGGAUCAGAAUGCCGCGGUGAAUACGUUCCCGGGCCUUGUACACACCGCCCGU